Molecule: ribosomal RNA, 497 nt
Filed under: uncultured bacterium
Lineage: Bacteria
Description: partial 16S ribosomal RNA
Rfam family: Bacterial small subunit ribosomal RNA
Source: RNAcentral
GAUGAACGCUGGCGGCGUGCCUAAUACAUGCAAGUCGAGCGAACGGACGAGAAGCUUGCUUCUCUGAUGUUAGCGGCGGACGGGUGGGUAACACGUGGAUAACCUACCUAUAAGACUGGGAUAACUUCGGGAAACCGUAGCUAAUACCGGAUAAUAUUUUGAACCGCAUGGUUCAAAAGUGAAAGACGGUCUUGCUGUCACUUAUAGAUGGAUCCGCGCUGCAUUAGCUAGUUGGUAAGGUAACGGCUUACCAAGGCAACGAUGCAUAGCCGACCUGAGAGGGUGAUCGGCCACACUGGAACUGAGACACGGUCCAGACUCCUACGGGAGGCAGCAGUAGGGAAUCUUCCGCAAUGGGCGAAAGCCUGACGGAGCAACGCCGCGUGAGUGAUGAAGGUCUUCGGAUCGUAAAACUCUGUUAUUAGGGAAGAACAUAUGUGUAAGUAACUGUGCACAUCUUGACGGUACCUAAUCAGAAAGCCACGGCUAACUGCGUG